Drosophila montana is the source of this 4981-nucleotide long non-coding RNA. RefSeq lists it as uncharacterized. The record is from RefSeq and is a predicted model, not a curated record. The transcript has 2 exons. NCBI's taxonomy places the organism in Eukaryota, Metazoa, Arthropoda, Insecta, Diptera, Drosophilidae.
UCGAUAUCGAUUUUUAUCGAUUACUUCGAAUCAGGACAAUUUAUCGAAUAUCGAAAACAAACUCGAUCUGCGCGGGGACUAGGAGGACCUACAGCUAAAAUUUCAAGUCUCUAGCUCUCAUGGGUUCUGAUAUCCUUGCUUUAAUACAUACAUACGGACGGACAUGGCUAGAUCGACUCGGCUAUUAAAGCUGAUCGAGAAUAUGUUUACUUUAUGGGGUCGGAGAUGCUUCCUUCUGACUGUACAUACAUUUGCAUAAAUACAUUAUACCCUUUUCACCCAUUUUUAAUGGGUUCUGGGUAUAAAAAUAAUAAAAUUCUAAAAUGCGUAUUAGACACGGGGUCGUCUGUUAAUUUAAUGAAAGAAGAUUUCCCAAAAUUCCCUAUAAAAAACUGUCAAUUAGAAGUACACAUACCGCUGAAACCCAGAAAACUUUGCGCCACUCAUCAGAAAUUUUUUUACAUAAUUUUUUUAAGCCAUAAUAGAUUACAAAAACAAAACUGUACGAAUUAAAGAUUUCACAUUUACAUUUAAAACAAUUCAGAAAUUGAAUUUCCAAGGGACGAAUCAGAUCCCGGAUAUCUUGUUCCACCCCCAUCUCAUGACGAGCAAUUAGUGUUCGCCAACAACAAUGAGCUUUCAGAGUUCAAUGAAUUCCGCCUAGAUCAUCUAAACGAUGAAGAAAAAUGCAAAUUAACUAAAGUCUUUCUUGAGUUUGGUGACAUUCAGUACCGAGAGGGUGAACAUUUGAUUUUCACAAGUACACAAGGUUUACAAAAAACUGUAUAAAUAUGCCCAAACAUUCGACCAAGAAGUCGAUAACGAAAUCAAAGAUAUGAUUUACCAAGGGAUAACACGCAAAACGAAAUCACCUUAUUGUUCGCCUCUUUGGAUCAUACCCAAAAAGAGGGAUGCAUCCGGGAAAUCAAAAUUUAGGAUAUUCAUUGACUAUCGAAGCCUUAAUGAAGUCACAGUUGAUGACAAAUACCCUAUACCAGCAAUGGAUAUAUACUCGACAUACUUGGUAAAUGUCAGUAUUUCACUACCAUUGACCUCUUGAAAGGUUUUUAAUUAGAUCCAAAUGGAUAAAAAAUCAAUUCCUAAGACUGCUUAUUCUACGAAAAUAAACAUUACGAGUACUCUCGUAUGCCGUUUAAAUGGAAAAAUGCACCUGCAACGUUUCAACGCUGAACAAUCUCCUUGAAGAUUUGAACUACAAGGAUAUGGAUACUCCACUUCUUUGGAGGAACAUAUAUUGUCAUUGAGGAAUUAUUCACAAAACUAAGGGUGGCCAAUCUAAAGCAAUACAAAAAUUCCCAAUACCUAAAACAGCGAAGAUAAUCAAAAAAAUUUUAGGACUUUGCGGUUCUUACCGAAAGUUAAUCCCAAAUUUUACAAAAAUAGCGAAACCAAUGACAGCAAAAUUGAAAAAAGGUGCAAUCAUAAUCACCAAAGAUAAACAGUACAUAAAUCAUUUGAAAAAUUAAAGCUUAUCAUGUCCGAUCCGAUACUAGUAUAUUAUAAUUUCGAGAAACAAUUCUCGUUAACCAUAGAUGUCAGUAAUACUGCCAUAGGAGCAGCAUUAUCCCAAGAUCAUAAAUCAAUCUGCUAUGCCAGCAGAACAAUAAAUGAACAUGAAGUCAACUAUUCGGCAAUAGAAAAGAGACUUUUAGCUAUUGUCUGGGCCACUAAAUACUUCAGGUCCUAUCUUUUUGGAAAGAAAUUCGAAAUCCUUAGUGAUCACAGACCCCUAGUUUGGUUGAGUAGUAUGAAAGAACCCAAUAUGAAGCUACAAAGAUGGAAAAUCAAGCUAAAUGAGUUUGAUUAUCACUGAAAAAAGUAAGAUGAAACAACACGACUGUUUCCAUUCAGUAGGGUUUUUGGAAUGUUCUUUAUUCGGAACUCUGUCCGCUUCAAAACCUAAGAUAUAGAUAUUAUUAUAUGUAUUGCUCUGUCGCAGGAGAGCUUAAUUAAAAGAGACAGAGUGUGGUACUCUUGGUAUGCACUACAUAAGCGUAGCGUGUGAUAUGCGCCGUCAGCUAAACGGGCAGCUAGAGUACUAGCGGUCCGCGCUGCGUAAUAUGAGCCUGAGUCAAUAAACUCAAGUGGCUCUGCGCUUUUGGCUUUAUGUUUGUUAUUGAAUGCAACAAAAUGUCGCAUACGUAUGUAUUUAAAUAAAGGGUGUUAUUUAAAAUUAAUAUACACACUACAUCACAUGAAAUAUGUCAAAUAAUAAAACUAUGUAGCAGACGCCGAAUUAAAAUAGGGGAAAAUUUACUAGGUGAAACCCCAAAUAGCCUAGCAGCGACAAUACAUAGCACAUAAGAAGAUAACGAAAAUCAUAUUUCUAUCACUGAAAGACCAGUUAAUUACUAUAAUAAGCAAUUAGAAUUCAUAAAAACCAUUAAUAAUCAAAAUUUCUUAUCAGGAAAUGACCCAUUAGUACGCUAAAAAAUGGAUUAAAGAAUAUUUAUGCACUAAGAAAAGUGUAAUUUACUUCCACAAUGAAGCCGAUUUCAUAGUUUUCCAAAACGCUUACAUUGAAAUAAUUAACCCAAAUACCCAAACAAAGGUAAUGAAAUCCAGUAAACAAAGAAAAAUAUUACCGAUCACCAAAAACUGAUAUAAAACAUUAUAAAUGAAUGCGAAUGCGAACACAUAUGCUACAUAGCCAAAACUGAACACAGAAACACAAAGCUCUCCUUUUAACUACUCCAGAAACGUUCAACCCCCGAGAGAAAUACGUCAUGGAUUUUUAUAUCAUUGACAAUAGACAGUUUCUAUCUUGUAUAGACAUAUAUCCCAAAUAAGCUUCAUUAAUAGAAAUUAAUAGCAGAGAUUGGCUCGAAACAAAACGAGCAAUCCUCCAAAUUUUCAACCUAAUGGGUAAACCAACAGACAUUAAAGCCUACAAAGAUUCAGCAUUCGUGUGCGCAGCACUUCAAUUAUGGUUACAGUCCGAUAAUGUCCAAAUAACAAUAACCACUAGUAAAAAUGGAAUUUCUGAUAUUGAGAGAUUUCACAAAACAGUUAACGAAAAACUAAGAAUAAUAAACAGUGAGUCCGAUCCAGAAAACAAAUUAACAACUUAAAACACCAACUUAGAACACCAAACGAUAUCUUUAUAUCGGAACGCCCGCAUAUAACACUCAAGUAAACAAAUUUAAUAAAAUAUCAAGUUUAAAUGAAAAACGUUAAGAUUUCGAUAUAGGUACUAGAUUUAAGGAAGCAUCUCUAGUAAGAUCAAAGACUACAACACCAUUCAAGAAAACAAUAAAUCUCAGGCAAAUAGAUGAUAAACAUUUUGAAGAAAGCAAUAGAGGUAGAAAAAUCACACACUACUAAUCUAAGUUUAAGAAGAAAAAGGAAACCCACCUUAAACUAUCAGCAUACUUAAUAUUAUUCCUAAUAACCACCUACGUCCGAGAAGCCCAAAGUAUAGAAAUCAAUCCGGCCCAAGUUAAGUAUAAAAUAUUUAAAUAUUUAAAAUAUUUACAAGACAAACUGGAAAGAGAAAUGAACUGCAUAAGAAUAGCAAAACGCAGCAAACGCGGUCUUUCUAAUUUUAUGGGUACAAAUUAUAAAUAUUUACUCGGCAUAUUUGAUCAACAAGAUAAAGAGGAAUUAUAAUCUAAAAUGAACAACAUAGCAGAAAACAGCGUACAAGCAAACGAACUAAAUCGAGUAUUAGAAGCAGUCAAUACAGGCAUAGAAACCAUUAAUCAUUUCAAUCAAGUAGAUUAGGUAAGCCAAAGGUUAGCACUCCUCAUUUUCAACCUCCAAGAAUUCACCGAAUUCAUAGAAGACAUAGAGUUGUGAAUGCAACUUACCAGACUUGGAAUUUCAACCCAAACUUACUAAAACAUGACACUUUACAACACGUUAAUUCGGAAAAAAUAUUAAAUAUAAAAACUUCAACAUGGUUAAAGACUGACACAAACGAAAUUUUGAUCAUAUCCCGUACUCUACGAGAGAUAGUUCAAACACCGAUUUUGAAAUAUAACCAUAUCCAGACAAGGAUAACAACAUCUUGACAGAAGAAAUUCAUGACAAGUAAUUCAUGCAAGACAAGCAGGCCUGCACGGCAAACACAAAUGAAUUAAUUACAAAGAAAUGCAUAACAGGGAUUUUAAUUCAAGUCACAACAGAAUGUAGCUAUACGAAAACAAGAAAGAAUUUUGAAAUCAAUUAUAUUGAGCCUAAUAUGCUUAUUACUUGGAAUCUACCCAAAACACUUCUAAAACAAGAUUGCAUCAAUAUAAAAAUGAUAGUAGAAGUUAACAACCUUAUAAAAGCGUCAAACUGUUCAAUCGAACUAGAUGAAAUAACCAAAUUAGAACCACUUUCUUACAUUCAAGGCAAAGAAAUCGUAAAAGCGCACACGAAAAUGUACAAUAUUUUUCAAAUUGUAACCGUAACAACACUUUGCAUAAUCAUAAGCGCCAUAAUAUUGUAUAUUCUCUAUAAGUUCAAAGCAUUACCCUAAAGAAUAAUUGUAAAGUAUAAGAAUAAAAAAGAAGAACCACAAAUGGAAGAACCGAUCAAUAUACAAUUACAUGCAAAUAUUGUAAGCAAUAGCAACUUAAAUGAAACCGAUAAUAUUGUAAUUAACAAUAAUCCAAAAUUAUACCCGAAAAUGUCCGCCUGAGGACAGGCUAGUUUCAUAGGAAUGGGAAGUGACAUAUGUACCACACCCACAACAUAUACUAUAAGUACACAUACACAUUUGUCCACAGCACCUAAUUCCAACUCCUUAAUAAUCAGCCCUAGCAACUAAGCGCACUACUGAAAUAUGUAACACGAGACGCCCCAAUUUGUAACAAUAAACCUUAGAGGCCCGAAAUGAUAAAUUCUUGGUAACAAUAACAAUUCUGGUGUGGAACCGAUCAUUAAAUCAAAGACCACUAGACAUAAACAUCCGCCACAAUUAAUUCCCAUAAAACGGGCCUAUUUUAAAAUAAAGUAAUAUUUUUUUAAGUAA